AUGCAGCUGAUUAGUCCCAUAUAGGGCGAAACGCGCGUCCUGGAU
Molecule: non-coding RNA, 45 nt
Organism: Schistosoma haematobium
Lineage: Eukaryota; Metazoa; Platyhelminthes; Trematoda; Strigeidida; Schistosomatidae
Source: Rfam